GAAAUGCGAUAAGUAGUGUGAAUUGCAGAAUUCAGUGAAUCAUCGAAUCUUUGAACGCACAUUGCGCCCCUUGGUAUUCCAUGGGGCAUGCCUGUUCGAGCGUCAUUUGUACCCUCAAGCUCUGCUUGGUGUUGGUUGUUUGUCCCCGUCUCCGCGCGUGGACUCGCCCCAAAGUGAUUGGCAGCCGGCGUACUGGUCCCGGAGCGCAGCACAUGUCGCGCAAACGAGUGCCUUGGUACGGCGGCGUCCAUAAGCCCCUCUCUCACGCUCUUGACCUCGGAUCAGGUAGGGAUACCCGCUGAACUUAAGC
RNAcentral lists this unclassified non-coding RNA (310 nucleotides) under plant metagenome. Its description in RNAcentral is "partial contains 5.8S ribosomal RNA, internal transcribed spacer 2, and large subunit ribosomal RNA". The stretch from base 1 to 105 matches the Rfam family "5.8S ribosomal RNA", at positions 50 to 154 of the family's 154-position model. The record is from RNAcentral.